Non-coding RNA from Schizosaccharomyces pombe (fission yeast), 526 nucleotides. The record is from the annotation of a GenBank genome assembly. NCBI's taxonomy places the organism in Eukaryota, Fungi, Ascomycota, Schizosaccharomycetes, Schizosaccharomycetales, Schizosaccharomycetaceae.
UUCUCAAAGUCAGUUUUUUGUUUUUCGUUAGCUUCAAUCUGAUCCACAGUACGUUCCCAAGUGCAAUGGGUAGCAGCCGAUUGAAUGGUAAUUCCUUUUUCCCGUUCAAGUUCCAUGAAAUCCAUUUUUGCUCCGACAUUAUCCUUUCCUCUGACUUCAUGAAUGUCUUUUAUCCUUCCUGUAUAGUACAAAACUCUUUCAGUAAAGGUAGUCUUGCCGGAAUCAAUAUGGGCAGAUAUUCCAAUAUUUCGAAUUUGUUUAAGUCGCUUUUUAUCGUUAUCAUUCAACUGUUCUUGGAUAUUCAAAUUAUUUUCUGAUGUAUUAGAAGCUUCAAUGCCCGUAUUUGCUACUGACGCGUAACCACGGACGACUAAAGUAGAAAGUCUGGGGAGGCGGCUUGUCAGCGACCUAAAUGAUAAUUUUAGCAUUUUAUAUUAUUUCAAUAGAAUAUAAAAACAGCCAUGAAUAACAUAAACAAUAAAUUCCUAGCUUUGGGAACACGCUGAGGUGGUGAGAGUCGUCGAGC